Molecule: long non-coding RNA, 4333 nt
Filed under: Piliocolobus tephrosceles (Ugandan red Colobus)
Lineage: Eukaryota; Metazoa; Chordata; Mammalia; Primates; Cercopithecidae
Description: lncRNA (ENSPTEG00000004743.1)
Source: RNAcentral
AAAUAACAAAACUAAUGAAAAUGAUAUAACAAAAAAAAAUAAAACAAAAGUUAAGAAAACUGGAAGUAGUAGUAUAUCUAAAAGUAAAAAUGCAUUAACAAAUAGUGAGACAACCAAUAUUGGUGUAAAUUCAAAAAUGUUAGAAAAAAAGCAAAUUGUAUUAAAGACAAAAAAAAUAAAAAAUAAAGCAAAAGAAGAUGACGUUAAAAAGGAAAACGUUUUAUUAGAAAAAAUUUCUAAUAAUUCUAAAAAAAUAACGGUUACUACAGAUGUAUUUGUUAGUGCAAAUGAAGCUAAAAUGGAUAACGAAAGUAGUAGUGAAAAAAAUGGCCAAAAAAAAAAGAGCAACAAAAAUGGAGAAAAAAACAAUGAGCAAAAUGGAGAAAAAAACAAUAACCAAAAUGGAGAAAAAAACAAUAACCAAAAUGGAGAAAAAAACAAUAACCAAAAUGGAGAAAAAAAACAAAACAUAAAUAACAAAAUAAAUGAAAAAUUGCUUAGCGAAAAAGACACGAAGCAAAUAAUUUCCGAACUGAAGAGCAUAUUAAACAUAGUUGACAAACCAAAAGAAACGAAAAAAAUCAAUGGAUUAUCACCUNNNNNNNNNNNNNNNNNNNNNNNNNNNNNNNNNNNNNNNNNNNNNNNNNNNNNNNNNNNNNNNNNNNNNNNNNNNNNNNNNNNNNNNNNNNNNNNNNNNNAAAAAAGACACGAAGCAAAUAAUUUCCGAACUGAAGAACACAUUAAAUAUAGUUGACAAUGACAAACCAGUGGAAACAAAAAAAAUCGAUGGAUUAUCACCUGAAGAAAUUAAAACACUGGAUUGUUGGUACUUCGCUAACAAAUUAAAAAUUGUGUCAUGUUUGUUUGAAAAUAAGCCUUUAAACGCAGAUUUAUUGAAUGCUCUUUAUUUUGCUGAGCCAGGAUUUAAACAUAAGAAGAGUAAAAUAAUUAUUUAUUUAAAUUAUAUUAAAACAAAUUAUGAUAAAUCAAUAAAAAAUAGUGAUAUUAAAAAAAAUGAAAUAAACCAAAAAGAAAAUAUAAAAAGCAAUAUUAUAAAACAAUUAGAUAAUAGUAUAGAUAAUUUAAAAGAAAAAAGAUAUAUGAAAAAAAUAAUUACAAUUAUAAAAAAUGAAAUUAAUUACUUUAAUAUAACAUGUUAUAUUGAAUUCCUUUUAAAUGUUCCAAUUGAUAUUUAUGAUAUGUUUAUAGAACAACAAGGAAUUGAAUGUAUUAAAUUGAUUUUAGAAAAUUUAGCAAAAAAAAAAGUGUUAAAAAAUUAUAUUCCUUUAUUACGACAUAUAUUAAUUUUUUUAGAUAAAUUAAACAUAACUAUUGACCAUUUAAAAAAUACUUUUAUUGGUAUACCUAUCAAUUUUAUUGCUAGAAAUAAAAUCGACGUAAAAAAUAUGCUAGACUAUACUCAUGAUGAUGAACAGAUUGGACGCAUUGCGACCAGUUUAAUAAAUAAGUGGAAGUCGAUAAGAGAUAAAGCAGUCAUCGAUAGUAAACAAAUGGUGGAUAAACAUGUAAAAAACGAUGAAAAAAACGUAUCAAACCAUGUCAAAGAUACAGACAUAAAUUUAAGUCAAAACACAAGUGAAACUAUACUACACAUAACAGACAAAACGAACACUUUUCAAGUACAUGCGGACAAUAUAAAUGGUAAUGCAGGGGAAAUUAAUAAACAGAAUAACAGCCAGGUUGAUCAAUAUAAUAUUUGUACAGAAAUUAAACAAAAUUUAAAUGAUACGCUAAUAAAAACAGUUGAUAAAAAAAGGAAACUAUUUAAUGAUGAUGCUCCAAGUGGUUAUCAAAAUGAUGGCGAUAAAAUCAAAAUCAACAAUAACAGCAACAAACAAAUGAUUAAUAAAAAAAAUAGUGCAAUGCUGACUUUACCAACGAAUUCAAAAAGUAACAAAAAUAACUAUCAUCAAAAUGAAAAAACAAAAAAUUUAAAUAACACUGGUGAAACGAAAAAUAUUAUGCUGGAAAUUAUUGGAACGUUAAACGAAGAACAUGAAAAAAAAAAAAAAAGAUAUUUAGAAUAUAAGAAAGCCAAAAUCGAAGGAAAGAUAAAAAAAUAUAGUUCCGAACAAAACAAAACAAGCCAUAUUAAAAAAGAAAAAUUGCUAGCAGACAUAUCGGAAAUAGAACAUAUAAAACUUGACAACGCCAUAGAUAGAAAGGCACAUAUGAAUAGUUUUCGAACUAAUGCCAAUUUGAAUAGUACCAAUUUGAAUAGUACCAAUUUGAAUAGUACCAAUUUGAAUAGUGCCAAUUUAAACAGUGUCAAUUUGAAAAGUACCAAUUUGAAUAAAACAUUUUCCGAUAGCCAAAAUUUAAUUAAAAAUUAUAACUUGUAUGAAAAUGUGAAUAACAAUAGGACCCCUAUGAUAGCAAAAUCACCAACGGUGUAUAAUAGAACCUCUGAAAAUAACAACAUCGGCUUAAAUAUUAAAAAUAAAAACAUUAACGGGCUUAUUUCCAGGUCAUAUAUUAAAAAUAGUAAUAAUAACAGCAAUAGUAAUGACAACGUACAAUAUAUACAUAAAAAUGAACAAAAUUCAAAAUGGAAUAUGCAGACUCAAAAUGUGCCAACUACAAUGACGUCCAAUAGGAGCUCUAAUUUACUUAAUAACAAUUUUGUAACAGAAAAACAUAUGUAUCCCCAAAAGUAUAACACACAUGACGGUACUAACAAUUUUAAUUAUUCUCAUAUAUCUGACGCAAUAAAUAUAUUGAGUUGUUUAAAAAAUGUAAAUAAAAAUAGCAAUAACAAUAGUAAUAAUGACAAUUUUGGUUAUGCAGGAAAUGUAGGUAAUUAUUCCAAGUCAUUAACUACAACUAUUGGGUCUCAGGAAUGUACAUAUGAUAACGUUGUAAGUGAUAACAUGCAUAUAAAUAGAAACAAUUAUAAUAAAACAUCGGAUAUACAACUAACAAAUGACAACCAGUUAAUUACAACACUAAAUGAAAGCUUUAACAAAAUUAAAAACUAUUCAAAUAAAAUAAAUUCCGAUGUUUAUCUAACUCAUACCAAUAAACAUAGUGGCUAUUCAGAUACACCUAGGACAAAUGGUAAUAAUGGUAUGUAUGAUUUUAUUUUUAAAAAUGAUGGGCAUAGUGGUAAUAACAAAUAUAUCCAUAACAACAAUAGUAGCGAUAACAUAGAAGUAAGUAAAUAUACUAAUACAGAUGUCCUAUAUACCAAUAAAAAUGCAUAUGGUAAUGAUUUAUUCCCACAUAGAUUUAAUAAUUUAAAACAAAUGCAAAAAAUAAAUGACAACAAUGUUUUGGUUAAAGAUCCUUUUGAAUUUUAUGAUACUUAUAAUAAUGGACAGAAGGAGAAGGAGAAGAAGGAGAAGAAGGAGAAGAAGGAGAAGAAGGAAAAGAAGGAAAAGACCGAGGAAAACGAUAAUGAGCUCAAAGUAAACCGAAUGGACGGAAUAGAAAACAUAAUUAACAAUGUUGAAGAAUAUCAUAAUGUACUUGUUAAGAAUAAAACAAAUGUACAUCAAAAUAUAACAAUUGAUAAAAACAGUGGAUAUAAUACAAAUUUGUUAAAAAACACAUUAAACAUAUUAACAUCAAAUAUGAACAUAUAUGAUGAAAUAAACACAGCAAAAAGUGGAGGACAAACUGAAGAAGGAACAAUUAAUAUAUUUAACAUAAAAAAUGAAGGAAAUAAUGGAAAUAACCAUCUUAACAAUAAUAACAUUAUAUAUAACAAAAUAAAUAUAAAUGACGUAUUGGAUAACAUUUUCAAAAAUUAUAAACCAUUUGAACAGAUUAAAGAAAAUCAUAAAGAAAAUAUAACAUCUACAUAUUCCCCUUCAAUUAUCUAUAAAGAUAAUGAAAUUACUAAAAAUGAUUUGACAAUAAAAUUAAAUUGUUAUAAAUAUGAAAAUGUAUCUUUGUAUUUAAAUUAUAAAAAUACGAGUCCUAAUUUAAUGGGAACAACAACCAAUGGUAAUGAGUUUCCUAUAUUACCAUUACAAGGCUUAUUUGCACCUGCAGAUUUAAAACAACUUAAUUUACCACCUAUACCAAUUUUACCUAAUCUUUUACCUACACAAAACAUCAUACCACCAGUUCUAUUACCAUUUAAUAACAUAUUAGAAUCAUCAAUAAACAAUAGUAAUAACAAUAAAAGUACUAUUAAUGUACAACAAAACGAUAAUAGUAAAAACGAAUAUGUGCACAUCUAUAAUAAAAAUAACUUAUACACUUCUUUUGAUGAGUUCAUAAAUAUUUUCGACGACGAUAUAAAGCAAGUUCUGUUAAAAAACAGAGACGUAAUAAUAAAAUAGAAUAAACAAAUUAAAUACGCUCA